GUUGUAACCAAUGUAUAAUUAAUUCACAUUUGCUACAACCACAAUAUGAGAUACAUAUGACAUGUUAAUCUUCAGUGAAAAUGAUAAUUGGUUAUUUUUAUUUGAUGGUCAGAAUACUAAAAUGCACAUCACAGUUUCUAAAUACUAUCAUAAAAACCAGAACCCACACUUGCAUAGUGCCUUUCGUGGAUGGGGGUUGUUCCAAAGUGCUAACAAAGUCGUUUUGAAAUAUAGUCAUUACUGUAAUGUAGGGAACAAGGGUAUCAAUUUCUGUGCAAUAAGAGUUCAAGAACAGCAAAGUCAUAACCCAAUAUUCAGAUUACCUAUAUUUAAUGAUAUUUAUUGAUGGAUCAGGACACCACUAUAACACUUGACAUUUUUUCUUGUAAAGUGUAAGAGGUCCAAGUCUACUAGUAGAUAAUUCUAAUGUAGAAUGCUCUUCGUAUCACAAACCACAUUAGACCUAAAAUCAUUACUGCGCAAAUUCCAAUGAAGCUUUAGUUAAGUUUGAAAUAAAAUAUAAACUUUCAAUGUGGGUUCGACUGAUCUCCUACUCUUUCUCUAGGAACAGUCUGGCAUAGUGCGUAGGUAAGAGGUGGAGUCCCCAGACCACAGAGCUGCUCUCAUAUUGGAGAAAGACAAUGGUUUAAUCUCAGGGUCACCAUACCUCAGGCAAGAUAUAUAUUUCCUGAAGACGUGAAGGACUCAAUGUACAUGGAAGUUAUUUCCUUUAAAGGGUAGAUUGCCCUCAGUUAAGAUUUUAAUAUGGAAAGCUACAAGGCAAAGAGUUUAACUGUGGAACCGAUUACUGUUCGGUCUGAUGGAAGAACUGGGAGAAGUUAAUUUGCUAAGU
Chiloscyllium plagiosum (whitespotted bambooshark) is the source of this 853-nucleotide non-coding RNA. Lineage: Eukaryota; Metazoa; Chordata; Chondrichthyes; Orectolobiformes; Hemiscylliidae. The record is from RefSeq and is a predicted model, not a curated record.